GAAUAGCCGAGUGUAGCCGAAGAGCCGACGAUAGCCGAGUUUUGCCGGGAAUAGCCGGGUGUAGCCGAAGAGCCGGCAAUAGCCGAGUUUUGCCGACAAUAGCCGGGUGUAGCCGAAGAGCCGACGAUAGCCGAGUUUUGCCGACAAUAGCCGGGUGUAGCCGAAGAGCCGAUGAUAGCCGAGUUCAGCCGAAGUGCCGAAACAAGCCCAGCUUAGACCAACAGCCGAACCAAACCGCCGCUGCACGUACGUGUUUUAAUCGCGUAACCAGGCGGACUCGGGAAAGCCGACAGCCGGAGUAGAUUUCUGUUUGGUCUGUGUCUGUGAGGAGCGGGCUGUGUGCUGGACAGGCAGAGACGCUGUCGGAGCGUGGCAACAGCGCCAGCUGUGAGCUCUGAGGAUGAUGAGGGCUCCGAGCAGCCCCAGCCCUGAGCUGCGAGGAUGAGGAGGGGGCGGCUCCUGCCGGGAGGAGGCUGUUUUAGGGGGGAAGGGGUUGCCUGAGCUCCCUUUUGCCUGGAGCUGCUGAGCAGAGGGGUUUAGGGGGGCUCCCGGCGCUGUCUCGUGGAAGGACGCCGAGAGCUUCUCCGAGGGUCUGGGGGAACACCUGGAUACGCACUUGGAUGCGUGGAGCAUUGCUCAAAGGAGGUGCCGAGGAACAAAGCUCCGUGCCGGGAAGCAGCAGCCGAACGGCCGUGACCAAGGGACCAGAGCCCGGUGACUGCAGGACAUUGCCAGCGAGAGAGGUGGCCUUCCUUUGCAGCGGACGUGGAUUCUCAUCCCAGGAUGCUCGAGAGAUAAGUCGAGGGCUGUGCCACGCUGAGGGGAUGGAAGCAAGGUGCUGGGAGGGCCUUUUGAGUAGUUUCUUUGGAGGCAGGGAUGUGCAGGAGAUGGCCCCUUAGGCCACAUGGAGGAGAAGUCUCAGCGUGCUGAGGUGCUCAGGGCAGAGCGGUCCCGGUGCCUGUCACUUGUGUCACUUGUCUGUCGUGCCUUCUGUGUCUUUUGGAUGUCUCAUGUCGCGUGUCUUGUGCCUUAGUCCUUUGAGGGGCUUAUGGUUUGUCCUGUUCUGUGUCACGGGUGUCUGGGUGUUUGGGCCAAUGCCGCUCUGCCCUGCUGCAAAGCCUGGUGUAGGUAUCAUAGGAGAAGUCCUGGGGGCCUGGAAAUUUGUAAUGCAGGGUGUAGGUGAGCUCUGGAUGGGAUUUGUAGAUUGACGCUAGAUGUCUGGAGCUCCUGUGGUAUCCUGCAGCACUCUGACUUUUGUCCUAACAUUCUUUCAGGUGCAGCCGGCUGAAAUCCGUGGCAGAGGGACCCGUGGCGAGUGAGUGGGCUCUGCAGAGCAGGAAGUCAAGCCGGGUAUCAGCAGGCAAGGUGUUCCAGUGGUAUUACGCCGAGACCCCCUCAGCAACUGGCCAACUGACCCGGUUCAUGGCUCUUGUCGGAAUUGAUCUUGAGGAGUAAAUUUCUGUUCAAGUGAUUUUUUUUUUUUAAUAUAUUAUUAUGUUGUGUCUUAGUCCUGUUAAUUGUUUUGAAUUUUAUUUUUGAUACUUUGAGGCAACUUCUUUGUGGUUUUCUGGUUUUUUGUUUGGUUUUUUUUUGUAGCUAAUAUUAUACAAGUAUUUUUUUUUCUAAUGAUUUUAGUAAUUUUAAUUUUUGUGGCUUAACUGUAAUUUGGGUAAGGGUGUAUAAAUUGUAUUUUAAGAGUUUGUGGUAUAUAGGAUUGAUUUACAAUUUAAAGUUUGCGAGGGAUAAGGUUAGGUGUUAAGAGGUAUACUAGCAAUGUAUGUAGAAAAUGGAUUUUUAGGAUUGGUGACUGAUGAACACUGUAUUUGGAUGCGUGGUUUUAGUUAGGGUUGCUUAUGUGUUUUGUUUUGGUUGUGGAACUAUUUAUGUAGGGUUUUUUUGGUGUAUUUUAAAUAAUGUUUGACACUGAGUAGCAAUCUCGUCUAUUUAUUUUUUGUGGAAACAGGUAUAACUUUUUCUUCAGGUUAUGAAAUUUACAGGAUUACUUUAUUGAUUACUUACUAAAUAUUGUUCUCGAGUAGGUUUUCGUAACUCUGAUUUUGAAAUCAAAGAAAAAUGAGUGGAAAAAGAUGAGGUAGAGCAGUUUUCUCCUUAUGGGAUAUAAAGGGUUUAACACAGAA
This is a long non-coding RNA of Passer domesticus (house sparrow), 2138 nucleotides long. RefSeq lists it as uncharacterized. NCBI's taxonomy places the organism in Eukaryota, Metazoa, Chordata, Aves, Passeriformes, Passeridae. The record is from RefSeq and is a predicted model, not a curated record. The transcript has 4 exons.